This 274-nucleotide ribosomal RNA is filed under the name uncultured bacterium. RNAcentral's name for it is "partial 16S ribosomal RNA". It matches the Rfam family "Bacterial small subunit ribosomal RNA", at positions 523 to 796 of the family's 1533-position model. The record is from RNAcentral.
AUACGGAGGGUGCAAGCGUUACUCGGAAUCACUGGGCGUAAAGCGCGCGCAGGCGGCUAUUUAAGUUGGAUGUGAAAGCCUACGGCUCAACCGUAGAACUGCAUCCAAAACUAUUUAGCUAGAGUGUGGGAGAGGAAGAUGGAAUUAGUUGUGUAGGGGUAAAAUCCGUAGAGAUAACUAGGAAUACCAAAAGCGAAGGCAAUCUUCUGGAACACUACUGACGCUGAGGCGCGAAAGCGUGUGGAGCAAACAGGAUUAGAAACCCUAGUAGUCC